This 73-nucleotide microRNA precursor is filed under the name Hippoglossus hippoglossus (Atlantic halibut). RNAcentral's name for it is "mir-21 microRNA precursor family". It matches the Rfam family "mir-21 microRNA precursor family". The record is from Rfam by way of RNAcentral. Lineage: Eukaryota; Metazoa; Chordata; Actinopteri; Pleuronectiformes; Pleuronectidae.
CGUCAGCUAGCUUAUCAGACUGGUGUUGGCUGUUGUAUUGCCAUGGCAACACUAGUUUGUAAGCUGGCUGAAG